This 27-nucleotide small RNA is filed under the name Bombyx mori (domestic silkworm). RNAcentral describes it as "ovarian small RNA-13432". Lineage: Eukaryota; Metazoa; Arthropoda; Insecta; Lepidoptera; Bombycidae. The record is from RNAcentral.
CAUGUUCAAAAUCAUUAUGUUGUGCUA